GUGGGGGGAGAGUCUAACUUGUUUAUUUAGUCUUUUGGUAAUUUAAUUCACAACCAUGAUAUCUGGACAUGUAUUAUGAGGUACAUUGAAUUGUAGGACAUGAAUAUUCAACCAUUCGCCGUCUUCAGCCCGUGCAUCUACGAUGGACUGAACAGCUCUGGUCUGUCUGCUGUGAUUACAGCGUACUCCCAGCCCUUCCGACAACCACCCGAGACCAGGAAGCGAUGAAGGCUAGCUGGCCAUUAAUAUGCUGAGAGGCUAAAUACAUACAAAUGAGAUGAUUAUACAAAAUAGAAUACAGCUCUCAGAAUAAAGAUCUCCACAGCUACACACAAUUAUAGGAAUAAAUCUCACAAAGAAGUCUCAUAGAGCCAAAGCAGUAUGUUUUUAUCAGUCCUUGAGCGGAAUGGGGACGAUGUGGAAAUAGAAGAACUUAGCUUUGCAGAGUCCCCUAAAUGCCUUGUCCAGCGCUCGAGGUAUCUAUCCCUCAAAAAAGUAUUACAAUUGCAUUCUGGGGAAGAAAAGAAGACGGACUUCUAGAAGGCUCAACCAAUUUAAGAAUAUUGGUCACGCAUUGGAUUUGGGCCUAGCCCAACUUCUGCGCCCAGCUGGUAAUGUAACCUUGAG
Molecule: long non-coding RNA, 627 nt
Organism: Ailuropoda melanoleuca (giant panda)
Lineage: Eukaryota; Metazoa; Chordata; Mammalia; Carnivora; Ursidae
Exons: 4
Source: RefSeq, a predicted model, not a curated record